This 254-nucleotide ribosomal RNA is filed under the name uncultured bacterium. RNAcentral's name for it is "partial 16S ribosomal RNA". It matches the Rfam family "Bacterial small subunit ribosomal RNA", at positions 524 to 776 of the family's 1533-position model. The record is from RNAcentral.
UACGUAGGGUCCGAGCGUUUGUCCGGAAUUACUGGGCGUAAAGAGCUCGUAGGUGGUUUGUCGCGUUGUUCGUGAAAACUCACAGCUUAACUGUGGGCGUGCGGGCGAUACGGGCAGACUUGAGUACUGCAGGGGAGACUGGAAUUCCUGGUGUAGCGGUGGAAUGCGCAGAUAUCAGGAGGAACACCGGUGGCGAAGGCAGGUCACUGGGCCGCAACUGACGCUGAGGAGCGAAAGCAUGGGGAGCGAACAGG